This 565-nucleotide long non-coding RNA is filed under the name Homo sapiens (human). RNAcentral's name for it is "HSALNT0324130". The record is from RNAcentral. Lineage: Eukaryota; Metazoa; Chordata; Mammalia; Primates; Hominidae.
ACACCUUGUGACACUGAGGUGAAAAGGCAGGUCGGGUGAAGAAGAGCAGGAUGUUUCAUUUUUAUCAAGCAUCACCUGAUUCAAAAUGUAGCCACUGAAAAGAAGCCAUCGUUUUUGGCCUGCGUCUCUGAGGAUAAGAUAGUGCGUGGGUGAUGGAUGCAGCCCAGCCUCAGGAGGACAACGUCAGAAACCAAAAGCUCCUCUGCCCAGGGAUGGGGACCCGCCGACUUCAAGGGCAGAACAGGAGAUGUGUUUGUUUGAGUAGAUCAGCUAUGAAAAUACCCAGCCGGCCUGCAGCCCUCCCGGCAGAUGCUGAAAAGGAAACCCGACUGGGAGAUGCCGCCCACCCUUAUCCCCAGAGAGCUGCGUUGUUUCCUCUUGCCUUGGCCUUUGGAUCCGGCCAUAGCAAGCAUCCCUGGGCACCUGGCUGAAGCUGGAAACUCGGGAUAAGAAUGGAAGCCCUGGAAGGGAAGAAGAACCGAGGAGAGGACAGCACAUUGCACUCUCACCUCCUUUGCAGUUAAGUGUGAAAUAGUGCCAAUAGAGUGUAAAAGAAAAGAAAGAA